This 922-nucleotide ribosomal RNA is filed under the name Desmophyllum pertusum. RNAcentral's name for it is "eukaryotic LSU rRNA". The stretch from base 696 to 922 matches the Rfam family "Eukaryotic large subunit ribosomal RNA", at positions 1 to 223 of the family's 3401-position model. The record is from RNAcentral. Lineage: Eukaryota; Metazoa; Cnidaria; Anthozoa; Scleractinia; Caryophylliidae.
GUACACACCGCCCGUCGCUACUACCGAUUGAAUGGUUUAGUGAGGCCUUCUGACUGGGCGCCGAUACUCUGGCAACAGAGCGCCGGAUGCCGGAAAGUUGGUCAAACUUGAUCAUUUAGAGGAAGUAAAAGUCGUAACAAGGUUUCCGUAGGUGAACCUGCGGAAGGAUCAUUACCGAUGAUAUUCGUCCAACAACUACACAGUUGUACCUUGUGAACCGUACCAAACUAUUCAGGGGUCGGCUUGUCCGUUAAAUGGUCGUCGGACGCGAGAGAUCGCGGCCGCUCGACCGGCCCCGCACGCGUUUUGUUUUUUAUAUAACAUAUGUGUACCUGUCUGACACAAGCGUUGCGGCCGGCCACAAGGGUCGGUCGUGGCAAUUAGAGCUAAAUAACGAGAUACAACUUUUGAUCGGUGGAUCUCUUGGCUCACGAAUCGAUGAAGAACGCAGCCAGUCGAUAAUAAUGAUGGAGCAUGUCUGUCUGAGUGUGGAUAUCAUCCAACGCACGCCAGCGUGCGGAAUUGAGGCGUCACGGUCCGUACUGCACGGACCGUGUCCUUGAAAGUCAGAGAGACUCGCCGCGUCGCGGGAAGAUUCCCCGUGCACACCAGCGGAGGCUAAAAUGUCUUUUGCCCUUCGCGUGCCGGGAAGUCGCCGCGUGCGGCGGUCGUCGUCGGGCGAACUUUAAUUAUCUUGACCUCAGAUCAGGCAAGGCUACCCGCUGAAUUUAAGCAUAUUAAUAAGCGGAGGAAAAGAAACUAACAAGGAUUCCCUCAGUAACGGCGAGUGAAGCGGGACCAGCUCAAAUUUGAAAUCUCCGAUGCCUGCAUCGGCGAGUUGUAGUUGCGAGAAGCACUUUCUAGGUGGAUCGGUCGUGCCUAAGUUGCUUGGAACAGCACGUCGCAGAGGGUGACAACCCCG